Molecule: ribosomal RNA, 462 nt
Filed under: uncultured bacterium
Lineage: Bacteria
Description: partial 16S ribosomal RNA
Rfam family: Bacterial small subunit ribosomal RNA
Source: RNAcentral
GACGAACGCUGGCGGCGUGCUUAACACAUGCAAGUCGAGCGGAAAGGCCCUUCGGGGUCCUCGAGCGACGAACGGGUGAGUAACACGUGAGUAACCUGCCCCAGACUUUGGGAUAACCCUCGGAAACGGGGGCUAAUACCGGAUACGACACAGCUUCGCAUGGGGUCUGUGUGGAAAGUUUUUCGGUUUGGGAUGGGCUCGCGGCCUAUCAGCUUGUUGGUGGGGUGAUGGCCUACCAAGGCGACGACGGGUAGCCGGCCUGAGAGGGCGACCGGCCACACUGGGACUGAGACACGGCCCAGACUCCUACGGGAGGCAGCAGUGGGGAAUAUUGCACAAUGGGCGGAAGCCUGAUGCAGCGACGCCGCGUGAGGGAUGACGGCCUUCGGGUUGUAAACCUCUUUCAGCAGGGACGAAGCGUAAGUGACGGUACCUGCAGAAGAAGCGCCGGCCAACUACGUG